GACGAACGCUGGCGGCGUGCCUAAUACAUGCAAGUAGAACGCUGAAGGAGGAGCUUGCUCUUCUGGAUGAGUUGCGAACGGGUGAGUAACGCGUAGGUAACCUGCCUGGUAGCGGGGGAUAACUAUUGGAAACGAUAGCUAAUACCGCAUAAAAUUGAUUAUUGCAUGAUAGUCAAUUAAAAGGUGCAAUUGCAUCACUACCAGAUGGACCUGCGUUGUAUUAGCUAGUUGGUGAGGUAACGGCUCACCAAGGCAACGAUACAUAGCCGACCUGAGAGGGUGAUCGGCCACACUGGGACGGAGACACGGCCCAGACUCCUACGGGAGGCAGCAGUAGGGAAUCUUCGGCAAUGGACGGAAGUCUGACCGAGCAACGCCGCGUGAGUGAAGAAGGUUUUCGGAUCGUAAAGCUCUGUUGUAAGAGAAGAACGAGUGUGAGAGUGGAAAGUUCACACUGUGACGGUAUCUUACCAGAAAGGGACGGCUAACUACGUG
RNAcentral lists this ribosomal RNA (495 nucleotides) under uncultured bacterium. RNAcentral's name for it is "partial 16S ribosomal RNA". It matches the Rfam family "Bacterial small subunit ribosomal RNA", at positions 28 to 507 of the family's 1533-position model. The record is from RNAcentral.